RNAcentral lists this ribosomal RNA (482 nucleotides) under uncultured bacterium. RNAcentral describes it as "partial 16S ribosomal RNA". It matches the Rfam family "Bacterial small subunit ribosomal RNA", at positions 28 to 506 of the family's 1533-position model. The record is from RNAcentral.
GACGAACGCUGGCGGCGUGCUUAACACAUGCAAGUCGAACGCUGAAGCUCAGCUUUUGUUGGGUGGAUGAGUGGCGAACGGGUGAGUAACACGUGAGUAACCUGCCCCCUUCUUUGGGAUAACGCCCGGAAACGGGUGCUAAUACUGGAUAUUCACUGGUCUUCGCAUGGGGGUUGGUGGAAAGGGUUUUUCUGGUGGGGGAUGGGCUCGCGGCCUAUCAGCUUGUUGGUGGGGUGAUGGCCUACCAAGGCUUUGACGGGUAGCCGGCCUGAGAGGGUGACCGGUCACAUUGGGACUGAGAUACGGCCCAGACUCCUACGGGAGGCAGCAGUGGGGAAUAUUGCACAAUGGGCGCAAGCCUGAUGCAGCGACGCCGCGUGAGGGAUGGAGGCCUCCGGGUUGUGAACCUCUUUCGCUCAUGGUCAAGCCGCAACAAUGGUUGUGGGGAGGGUAGUGGGGAAAGAAGCGCCGGCUAACUACGG